RNAcentral lists this ribosomal RNA (498 nucleotides) under uncultured bacterium. Its description in RNAcentral is "partial 16S ribosomal RNA". It matches the Rfam family "Bacterial small subunit ribosomal RNA", at positions 28 to 507 of the family's 1533-position model. The record is from RNAcentral.
GACGAACGCUGGCGGCAUGCCUAACACAUGCAAGUCGAACGGAGAUUAUUUCGGUAAUCUUAGUGGCGAACGGGUGAGUAACGCGUGGGCAACCUGCCCUCUAGAUGGGGACAACAUCCCGAAAGGGGUGCUAAUACCGAAUGUGACAGCAAUCUCGCAUGAGGAUGCUGUGAAAGAUGGCCUCUAUUUAUAAGCUAUCGCUAGAGGAUGGGCCUGCGUCUGAUUAGCUAGUUGGUGGGGUAACGGCCUACCAAGGCGAUGAUCAGUAGCCAGUCUGAGAGGAUGAACGGCCACAUUGGGACUGAGACACGGCCCAGACUCCUACGGGAGGCAGCAGUGGGGAAUCUUCCGCAAUGGGCGAAAGCCUGACGGAGCAAUGCCGCGUGAGUGAUGAAGGAAUUCGUUCCGUAAAGCUCUUUUGUUUAUGACGAAUGUGCAGAUUGUGAACAAUGAUCUGUAAUGACGGUAGUAAACGAAUAAGCCACGGCUAACUACGUG